RNAcentral lists this ribosomal RNA (2906 nucleotides) under Escherichia coli. Its description in RNAcentral is "23S ribosomal RNA". It matches the Rfam family "Bacterial large subunit ribosomal RNA". Lineage: Bacteria; Pseudomonadati; Pseudomonadota; Gammaproteobacteria; Enterobacterales; Enterobacteriaceae. The record is from RNAcentral.
GGUUAAGCGACUAAGCGUACACGGUGGAUGCCCUGGCAGUCAGAGGCGAUGAAGGACGUGCUAAUCUGCGAUAAGCGUCGGUAAGGUGAUAUGAACCGUUAUAACCGGCGAUUUCCGAAUGGGGAAACCCGAGUGUGUUUCGACACACUAUCAUUAACUGAAUCCAUAGGUUAAUGAGGCGAACCGGGGGAACUGAAACAUCUAAGUACCCCGAGGAAAAGAAAUCAACCGAGAUUCCCCCAGUAGCGGCGAGCGAACGGGGAGCAGCCCAGAGCCUGAAUCAGUGUGUGUGUUAGUGGAAGCGUCUGGAAAGGCGUGCGAUACAGGGUGACAGCCCCGUACACAAAAAUGCACAUGCUGUGAGCUCGAUGAGUAGGGCGGGACACGUGGUAUCCUGUCUGAAUAUGGGGGGACCAUCCUCCAAGGCUAAAUACUCCUGACUGACCGAUAGUGAACCAGUACCGUGAGGGAAAGGCGAAAAGAACCCCGGCGAGGGGAGUGAAAAAGAACCUGAAACCGUGUACGUACAAGCAGUGGGAGCACGCUUAGGCGUGUGACUGCGUACCUUUUGUAUAAUGGGUCAGCGACUUAUAUUCUGUAGCAAGGUUAACCGAAUAGGGGAGCCGAAGGGAAACCGAGUCUUAACUGGGCGUUAAGUUGCAGGGUAUAGACCCGAAACCCGGUGAUCUAGCCAUGGGCAGGUUGAAGGUUGGGUAACACUAACUGGAGGACCGAACCGACUAAUGUUGAAAAAUUAGCGGAUGACUUGUGGCUGGGGGUGAAAGGCCAAUCAAACCGGGAGAUAGCUGGUUCUCCCCGAAAGCUAUUUAGGUAGCGCCUCGUGAAUUCAUCUCCGGGGGUAGAGCACUGUUUCGGCAAGGGGGUCAUCCCGACUUACCAACCCGAUGCAAACUGCGAAUACCGGAGAAUGUUAUCACGGGAGACACACGGCGGGUGCUAACGUCCGUCGUGAAGAGGGAAACAACCCAGACCGCCAGCUAAGGUCCCAAAGUCAUGGUUAAGUGGGAAACGAUGUGGGAAGGCCCAGACAGCCAGGAUGUUGGCUUAGAAGCAGCCAUCAUUUAAAGAAAGCGUAAUAGCUCACUGGUCGAGUCGGCCUGCGCGGAAGAUGUAACGGGGCUAAACCAUGCACCGAAGCUGCGGCAGCGACACUAUGUGUUGUUGGGUAGGGGAGCGUUCUGUAAGCCUGUGAAGGUGUGCUGUGAGGCAUGCUGGAGGUAUCAGAAGUGCGAAUGCUGACAUAAGUAACGAUAAAGCGGGUGAAAAGCCCGCUCGCCGGAAGACCAAGGGUUCCUGUCCAACGUUAAUCGGGGCAGGGUGAGUCGACCCCUAAGGCGAGGCCGAAAGGCGUAGUCGAUGGGAAACAGGUUAAUAUUCCUGUACUUGGUGUUACUGCGAAGGGGGGACGGAGAAGGCUAUGUUGGCCGGGCGACGGUUGUCCCGGUUUAAGCGUGUAGGCUGGUUUUCCAGGCAAAUCCGGAAAAUCAAGGCUGAGGCGUGAUGACGAGGCACUACGGUGCUGAAGCAACAAAUGCCCUGCUUCCAGGAAAAGCCUCUAAGCAUCAGGUAACAUCAAAUCGUACCCCAAACCGACACAGGUGGUCAGGUAGAGAAUACCAAGGCGCUUGAGAGAACUCGGGUGAAGGAACUAGGCAAAAUGGUGCCGUAACUUCGGGAGAAGGCACGCUGAUAUGUAGGUGAAGCGACUUGCUCGUGGAGCUGAAAUCAGUCGAAGAUACCAGCUGGCUGCAACUGUUUAUUAAAAACACAGCACUGUGCAAACACGAAAGUGGACGUAUACGGUGUGACGCCUGCCCGGUGCCGGAAGGUUAAUUGAUGGGGUUAGCCGCAAGGCGAAGCUCUUGAUCGAAGCCCCGGUAAACGGCGGCCGUAACUAUAACGGUCCUAAGGUAGCGAAAUUCCUUGUCGGGUAAGUUCCGACCUGCACGAAUGGCGUAAUGAUGGCCAGGCUGUCUCCACCCGAGACUCAGUGAAAUUGAACUCGCUGUGAAGAUGCAGUGUACCCGCGGCAAGACGGAAAGACCCCGUGAACCUUUACUAUAGCUUGACACUGAACAUUGAGCCUUGAUGUGUAGGAUAGGUGGGAGGCUUUGAAGUGUGGACGCCAGUCUGCAUGGAGCCGACCUUGAAAUACCACCCUUUAAUGUUUGAUGUUCUAACGUUGACCCGUAAUCCGGGUUGCGGACAGUGUCUGGUGGGUAGUUUGACUGGGGCGGUCUCCUCCUAAAGAGUAACGGAGGAGCACGAAGGUUGGCUAAUCCUGGUCGGACAUCAGGAGGUUAGUGCAAUGGCAUAAGCCAGCUUGACUGCGAGCGUGACGGCGCGAGCAGGUGCGAAAGCAGGUCAUAGUGAUCCGGUGGUUCUGAAUGGAAGGGCCAUCGCUCAACGGAUAAAAGGUACUCCGGGGAUAACAGGCUGAUACCGCCCAAGAGUUCAUAUCGACGGCGGUGUUUGGCACCUCGAUGUCGGCUCAUCACAUCCUGGGGCUGAAGUAGGUCCCAAGGGUAUGGCUGUUCGCCAUUUAAAGUGGUACGCGAGCUGGGUUUAGAACGUCGUGAGACAGUUCGGUCCCUAUCUGCCGUGGGCGCUGGAGAACUGAGGGGGGCUGCUCCUAGUACGAGAGGACCGGAGUGGACGCAUCACUGGUGUUCGGGUUGUCAUGCCAAUGGCACUGCCCGGUAGCUAAAUGCGGAAGAGAUAAGUGCUGAAAGCAUCUAAGCACGAAACUUGCCCCGAGAUGAGUUCUCCCUGACUCCUUGAGAGUCCUGAAGGAACGUUGAAGACGACGACGUUGAUAGGCCGGGUGUGUAAGCGCAGCGAUGCGUUGAGCUAACCGGUACUAAUGAACCGUGAGGCUUAACCUU